GUGGUAGCCGGAGUUAUUGGGAGCAGAUGGGAAGGGAUGGUGGAGGGGCAGGGCUGUGGGGGAGGGAGGGGCAACCUAGGGGUAGGAGGAAACCGAAAAGACCCUUACCCAGACCACUGGGGUCCUGAGCCAGUUAUCUGGAUGUUCUCCACGGGACAUUCCUUGGUCCAGGUGACAGGUAAAUCCAGAUUUGAGGGAUGGAGAGGCUUCAGAAAGGUCAAUGCUAAGGCCAUGUCUGUUUGGUAUGGACCCUGGGGAUCCACAUCACCUGACCCUCUCCUGAGUCCCUCUGGGGUCUGAGGAUCUGUGUCCAGGGGCCCUGACAGGGGUGGGGUGAGAGGUGGGAGCAUGUGUUACAUGUAGACUGUGCUCGAGGAAGCCAGAGGCUGCUGGACUGGGAGCAGGAGGCUGGGCCCAGCGGCAGCUGACAGGAAUGAGGUGGCGUCAGUCGAGGGGAAGUUCUCAAGAGCAUUGAGGGCCAAUGAGCCACAUUUCAAAGGUUGACUGUGAUGCAGACAGGGAUGCUGGUGAGUGUGGUGCUGGUUGCAGUGCUGACAGAGGCGGUGUGGUGGUGGCGAUGGGGCCGUGAAUGUGGAGCCUGAUGUCCUCUGUGCCCAGUGACUCCACUCAGUUGCCCGCCUGCUUUUAUGGGAGCCACUUGGUGAAACGUCCCUUUCUGUUUGGUAAGACCCCGCCCUCUCAUCUCCAGUCCUUGGAAACACCUUGGUCUUAGCUGAGCUGAGUCCUGGUCUUCAUCCCUAACCGCCUCUGCAGCCCCCAGCCCUCGGCCCAGAGCUGAGUCUGCAGAGACGAGUGGACGGUGCUGAGUCCCAACCACUUAAGAAUCCAAGCGGUUUAGGGUCUGGAGGAAGAGGUGGGGCCAGGGAGGGAUUUGCCAGUCCAAAUCAUCGCUCAAUGAGUGGCAGAAAGGGUCAUAUCCCAGAUCGUGGAGACGCAGGAGGCGCGAGUUCUAUCCCUGGGUUGGGAAGAUAUCCUGGAGGAGGGCAUGGUAACCUACUACAACAUUCCUGCCUGCUCCUUGCCUUGUCCUCCUUCUCCCUCUCCUGUUCCGAGAUGGAAGGCGAAGCCAAAUCCCGCUCAUCAGAGAGUCUCCUCCUGCCACACGAUACAUUUCUCCUUCCCAAGGCCCCUCACCCCAUGCUGAGGAGUCAAAAUAACCUGACUGACCCCGCGCCUGCAGGGCCAUUCCCACC
Long non-coding RNA from Bos taurus (domestic cattle), 1214 nucleotides. The record is from Ensembl. NCBI's taxonomy places the organism in Eukaryota, Metazoa, Chordata, Mammalia, Artiodactyla, Bovidae.